GUCUACGGCCAUACCACCCUGAACGUGCCCGAUCUUGUCUGAUCUCGGAAGCUAAGCAGGGUCGGGCCUGGUUAGUACUUGGAUGGGAGAAUUGCUAAAUUAUGUUUCUGAAGUUA
RNAcentral lists this ribosomal RNA (116 nucleotides) under Mustela putorius furo (domestic ferret). Lineage: Eukaryota; Metazoa; Chordata; Mammalia; Carnivora; Mustelidae. The record is from RNAcentral.